RNAcentral lists this ribosomal RNA (497 nucleotides) under uncultured bacterium. RNAcentral's name for it is "partial 16S ribosomal RNA". It matches the Rfam family "Bacterial small subunit ribosomal RNA", at positions 28 to 507 of the family's 1533-position model. The record is from RNAcentral.
GAUGAACGCUGGCGGCGUGCCUAAUACAUGCAAGUCGAGCGAACAGACGAGGAGCUUGCUCCUCUGACGUUAGCGGCGGACGGGUGAGUAACACGUGGAUAACCUACCUAUAAGACUGGGAUAACUUCGGGAAACCGGAGCUAAUACCGGAUAAUAUAUUGAACCGCAUGGUUCAAUAGUGACAGACGGUUUUGCUGUCCCUUAUAGAUGGAUCCGCGCCGCAUUAGCUAGUUGGUAAGGUAACGGCUUACCAAGGCAACGAUGCGUAGCCGACCUGAGAGGGUGAUCGGCCACACUGGAACUGAGACGCGGUCCAGACUCCUACGGGAGGCAGCAGUAGGGAAUCUUCCGCAAUGGGCGGAAGCCUGACGGAGCAACGCCGCGUGAGUGAUGAAGGUCUUCGGAUCGUAAAACUCUGUUAUUAGGGAAGAACAAAUGUGUAAGUAACUAUGCACGUCUUGACGGUACCUAAUCAGAAAGCCACGGCUAACUACGUG